AAUUCUCAAAACCCUUUCUUUUGAUAGGAAAGGAUUUUGGACUUGGAGGCCUUUUGCUGGUUUCACCUCGAAGCGAGCUCCUCCCAAAUGAAUCAGUGGGGUCUGCUUUGCCGAUCCUUGGCGUGAUAGGUCAUUUCUACGUCUCGGGUUUUGGCACUGUACACCUGCUUCUAACCGUCUCAUCGACAACGAUGGUGUUCCGGUCGCCGCCGAUCCGUCGGCGGAAGGCUUGACCCACAAAACGAA
This 246-nucleotide unclassified non-coding RNA is filed under the name uncultured Russula. Its description in RNAcentral is "sequence contains ITS2". The record is from RNAcentral. Lineage: Eukaryota; Fungi; Basidiomycota; Agaricomycetes; Russulales; Russulaceae.